Molecule: long non-coding RNA, 958 nt
Filed under: Monodelphis domestica (gray short-tailed opossum)
Lineage: Eukaryota; Metazoa; Chordata; Mammalia; Didelphimorphia; Didelphidae
Description: lncRNA (ENSMODG00000044166.1)
Source: RNAcentral
CUUUACUGAUAUCAUUUGAUUCUCACAAAAGUUGGGAGUUAUGUGCUUUUGUUAUCCUCACUUUACAGAUAAGAAAACUGAAGCAUACAGAGGUUAAAUGAUUUAUCCAGGAUCACUCAGCUAGUAUGCACAUGAGGCUGGAUGAAAUCACAUCUUCCUGAUUCCAGGAAAGGCACUCUCUCCAUUGCAUCACCUGCCAAUAGACUUCGGAGGGCAAUUGGCCCAUCCCAUUAAAUUUCUAGGAAUAUAGGGAAACUGAGAUGUAGUGAAGAAUGAAUACCUCAUCUGCUGCCCCUAGGAGAUUAUGUACUACCAUGAUAGUGAGACUGUGAGACAACUACUGACUGCAGGAAGAUCAAUCAAAAGUUGCAAUCCAUUCAGGAACAACAGAAAGACUGCAGUGCCUUAUGUUACAUGAAGCCCUUGGCUGGAGGAACUAAAUGAUUUUUACAAACAUUGCUUCAAGAACAAAAAGGAUGCCAACAAAGAAAUGUGUGCCCAGGGAAGGAAGAUAGGCUGGCCAUGUGGUUGUUGUGAUGGAUUACCAACAGACAGCUGCCUAAAUGCUACAUCACUACCUUGUCAUGUCAGGAGAAGUUGAGGAAAAUCCCCAGUCUGGUGUGCAGGACCUGGCAUGACAAAGUUUUGAAAGGACAUGGACAAGAGUCAGAAUGGACAGGCAUGGAUGAGCUGUUAACGAUUUUUGGCAAUGCAAAGAUGAAACCCAUCUACAAGGAGCCGAUAUCCUAUCAGAGGAGACAAUAUGUAUAUUUAUGGAUGAAAAUGGGGGCUGACCAAGUGGAGUAAAAGAACUGGAGUUCAUCCUGCUAUAUGCCAGGUGCAACCUUGGCGAAGAUGCUUCUUUAAAAUGUGGGAUCAUGCAGAAUGGAAAGGCUGCUUUCUCAUUCUGAAGAUUUCCAAAUAUUGUGGGUCUAUUUCCUGUCUGAUUAUGGUGUAG